RNAcentral lists this ribosomal RNA (433 nucleotides) under uncultured Actinomycetes bacterium. RNAcentral's name for it is "bacterial SSU rRNA". It matches the Rfam family "Bacterial small subunit ribosomal RNA", at positions 958 to 1385 of the family's 1533-position model. Lineage: Bacteria; Bacillati; Actinomycetota; Actinomycetes. The record is from RNAcentral.
AACGCGAAGAACCUUACCAGGGCUUGACAUGCACGGUGCAGCCGUAGAGAUACGGUGUCCUUUGGGGUCGUGCACAGGUGGUGCAUGGUUGUCGUCAGCUCGUGUCGUGAGAUGUUGGGUUAAGUCCCGCAACGAGCGCAACCCUCGUCCUGUAUUGCCAGCAGCGGUUUCGGCCGGCUGGGGACUUGCGGGAGACUGCCGGGGUCAACUCGGAGGAAGGUGGGGACGACGUCAAAUCAUCAUGCCCCUUAUGUCCUGGGCUGCACGCAUGCUACAAUGGCCGGUACAGAGGGCUGCGAUACCGUGAGGUGGAGCGAAUCCCGUAAAGCCGGUCUCAGUUCGGAUCGGGGUCUGCAACUCGACCCCGUGAAGUCGGAGUCGCUAGUAAUCGCAGAUCAGCAACGCUGCGGUGAAUACGUUCCCGGGCCUUGUA